Molecule: long non-coding RNA, 380 nt
Organism: Centrocercus urophasianus (Greater sage-grouse)
Lineage: Eukaryota; Metazoa; Chordata; Aves; Galliformes; Phasianidae
Exons: 3
Source: RefSeq, a predicted model, not a curated record
CGUAAAUACAGGUCUUAAUGCCUCAUUAAUCGAGUGCUAUUUACUUCUAAAUAAGCCAUAAUGAGCUUUAAUUUUCAUUUCAUCGAUGCAUUUAAAUUUUCAGCAUAAUACUUGAGGAGUUUAUUUGAUAUGUAAACACAGAAUACUUUUACUAAUAUGGCUGGGAAAGUUUCAACCAUGGUCUUUAAUAACAGGAAAUUCAACUCUGAGUUACAUACCUUUAGGCAUUCAUACAAUGGAACAAAUUACAACAAAUACAAACAUGUCUUGGAGAUUCUUCUCUUCCAAAUAAAAAGUGCCAGUAGCUGCACGCUUUGCUACUUCUGGAAAAGGAAUACCAGAUCCUGAGUAUCUGCACAAUUACAACUCUGUGAAACAAG